This 253-nucleotide ribosomal RNA is filed under the name uncultured bacterium. RNAcentral describes it as "partial 16S ribosomal RNA". It matches the Rfam family "Bacterial small subunit ribosomal RNA", at positions 524 to 776 of the family's 1533-position model. The record is from RNAcentral.
UACGUAGGGUGCAAGCGUUGUCCGGAAUUAUUGGGCGUAAAGAGCUCGUAGGCGGUCUGUCGCGUCGGCUGUGAAAACCCGGAGCUCAACUCCGGGCCUGCAGUCGAUACGGGCAAACUGGAGUGUUGCAGGGGAGACUGGAAUUCCUGGUGUAGCGGUGAAAUGCGCAGAUAUCAGGAGGAACACCGGUAGCGAAGGCGGGUCUCUGGGCAACAACUGACGCUGAGGAGCGAAAGCAUGGGGAGCGAACAGG